CCUACGGGAGGCAGCAGUGAGGAAUAUUGGUCAAUGGGCGCGAGCCUGAACCAGCCAAGUAGCGUGAAGGAUGACUGCCCUACGGGUUGUAAACUUCUUUUAUAAAGGAAUAAAGUGAGGCACGUGAGUCUUCUUGAAUGGACUUUAUGAAUAAGGAUCGGCUAACUUCGUGCCAGCAGCCGCGGUAAUACGGAGGAUCCGAGCGUUAUCCGGAUUGAUUGGGUUUAAAGGGAGCGUAGAUGGGUUGUUAAGUCAGUUGUGAAAGUUUGCGGCUCAACCGUAGAAUUGCAAUUGAUACUGGCAGUCUUGAGUACAGUUGAGGUAGGCGGAAUUCGUGGUGUAGCGGUGGAAUGCUUAGAUAUCACGAAGAACUCCGAUUGCGAAGGCAGCUUACUAAUCUGCCACUGACAUUGAUGCUCGAAAGUAUGGGUAUCAAACAGGAUUAGAUACCCUUGUAGUC
This 460-nucleotide ribosomal RNA is filed under the name uncultured bacterium. RNAcentral describes it as "partial 16S ribosomal RNA". It matches the Rfam family "Bacterial small subunit ribosomal RNA", at positions 338 to 795 of the family's 1533-position model. The record is from RNAcentral.